RNAcentral lists this unclassified non-coding RNA (401 nucleotides) under Hevea brasiliensis (rubber tree). The record is from RNAcentral. Lineage: Eukaryota; Viridiplantae; Streptophyta; Magnoliopsida; Malpighiales; Euphorbiaceae.
AUGAUUGAUGGAUGUGCUUUUCUUUCACUACAUACAAAUGUGGACACACGCUAACCUUAUUUCAUAUGAAAAAGAAAUUUAUAAAUAACACUCACAGAAGAAUAUAAUCAGUGCAACAAUAAAUUGAAUAGUUUCACUUGUGAGUGACAUACAAGAAGAAAGCUGGUUUCAGAGGCAACAAGUUUGUUUCAAAGUUGUCUCCUUAAGUAGUCAGUAGGACUGAUCCCAAUUUUAAGUGUUUUCAGUUAGAAAUCAUUUUCCACAGGAGCAUAAUUCACCCAAUUAUCUCCUCUUAACUUGUUGGAGAAAAAUGGAAGUUGUUCCUUAUCUGAAGAAGCCAUCAAUGAAGAAAUUCUACAGUCCCAAGUUGUUAAAUGUGGCGCCAAGUUGAAGUUCAUCCA